Amaranthus tricolor (Joseph's coat) is the source of this 1401-nucleotide long non-coding RNA. RefSeq lists it as uncharacterized. Lineage: Eukaryota; Viridiplantae; Streptophyta; Magnoliopsida; Caryophyllales; Amaranthaceae. The record is from RefSeq and is a predicted model, not a curated record. The transcript is spliced from 5 exons.
UAAAAAUUUAUGGAAGCCAAUGAAGAAUUCAUGAUGAAAGGGAAGGAGACCUCCAUUCUCGAUCGCUAAUAGCGUAUUUUGGGAUAAUUCUUAAAGAUCGAUAGUUUGUGGCUAUUUAUCGCCAUCAUCUUCACACUUUAAGGUGGAUCAAUAAUGCUUUUGGUCUCAGGAAAGAGUUCUGUUGUUGAUAGGCAAAGAUUAGAAGAUCUUUGAAUUCUCUUGUACUUGGUCUAUUUAGACCGUCUUUGUGUGGAGCUCAGUCCUUUUUUGUUUGCGCCUGCGAUAGGUAUCUAACAAGUAACAACGGGUCAACGGCAGAUAAAAAUAUUUAUACCUUUCUUACAACUCUUACGUUCUGAUGAUGUGCUUGCAAUAGGUACCUUGAUUGUUGCGUUUUACAUCCCAUUUUAUCCCUCCACAUUUCAUCAAGUUGCCAUGAAAGGCACCAAAGCUAUUUAAAGAGCGGGUACUGGGUUUUUUCUUCCGCACCUCACAAGUGAUGCAAGUAGAGUAUGCUGUAUGUUCAACUGUCGUUUAAGCUGUGCAGAUAUCAUCUUAAACACACAAAACAAGGCACUGACAAUGCAUGCUCGACCGAACACUAUUCUGCUCAUCAAGCAGUUCCUAAUCUGAUGCUACUGCUCCUACAGUUUUGCUAGCCCGAGCAAUCUUCCCUAGCUAGCUUCGGACUUCUUCUAGUAGCUUGCACGGGCUAGUCCCUUGGUUUCUUUUGCAUGCACUCAAGACAGACUUCUGCCCUUCACACCGUCACUUACCAUGCUCCGCUUGGCUCACAUUACCCUUGCUAGCUCAUCCAUGACUCCAACUAAGCCAUCGUGUAGACCACUUCGCAUCAUCCUUUCUUGUCCAUGUUCUUGGGAAAUAACCUCGUUAUUAGAGGAUUUAGUUUUCGAACUAACAGAAGUUGGUGCAAGAUUAGACCCAAUUUUAAUUUAGGAGGAAGAGGCUUAAUUAAUUUAAGUCUUGAAUAUUUUCUACAAAACCUUUGAGUAGCUUUCGAGCAAGAGCAAGAGCAAGAGAGCACUAAAGAGAGCAAUCCUGGAUAUUUAUCAAUAGAGUUCUUAUCGAUAGAUAGCAUUUCAGUAUCAAUACUUGACACUUUCUUCCUUUUUACACAUUUGAAAUCACCUACUUCGAGUUUAUAAUAUAUUUGAAACCCGAAUAUAUAAUCUGUGUUCUAUUAUAAACACAAAAAGUACAUACAUGACGACUCUUAAAAUUCUAUUGAUCAGAUUUAUAACUCAAGAAGCCUUAACUCUACUAUUAUUAGCUCUUAUAUAACAAAAUAUAUAUGACACAUAAAGUUUAUAACAAUUAAAUUCUUUGGCAUACUUAAAAUUUUUGAACACCCAUCGCACAAUAAAGAAGUUGAAGUUAUUG